GGACCGUGGGGCCGUCGGCGCCGACGGUGAGCGAGUGCGCGUCGCUCGGUGCCGGGGUGCCGGUCUGGGUCGUGGUGUUCGGUUUCGUCAUGUGCUUCUCC
This 101-nucleotide transfer RNA is filed under the name Microbacterium foliorum. RNAcentral's name for it is "tRNA-Arg". Lineage: Bacteria; Bacillati; Actinomycetota; Actinomycetes; Micrococcales; Microbacteriaceae. The record is from RNAcentral.